CUAGCCGUAAACGAUGGGUACUAGGUGUGGGUGGUUUCGAUACCAUCCGUGCCGUAGUUAACGCAUUAAGUACCCCGCCUGGGGAGUACGUGCGCAAGCAUGAAACUCAAAGGAAUUGACGGGGGCCCGCACAAGCGGUGGAGCAUGUGGUUUAAUUCGAAGCAACGCGAAGAACCUUACCAGGCCUUGACAUCCCCUGACCGUCAUGGAAACAUGGCUUCUCUUCGGAGCAGGGAGACAGGUGG
Molecule: ribosomal RNA, 245 nt
Filed under: uncultured bacterium
Lineage: Bacteria
Description: partial 16S ribosomal RNA
Rfam family: Bacterial small subunit ribosomal RNA
Source: RNAcentral